UACGGAGGGUGCGAGCGUUAAUCGGACUAACUGGGCGUAAAGGGCACGCAGGCGGGCCUUUAAGUGAGAUGUGAAAUCCCCGGGCUUAACCUGGGAAUAGCAUUUCAGACUGGGAGGCUAGAGUAUGUUAGGGAGGGGUAGAAUUCCACGUGUAGCGGUGAAAUGCGUAGAGAUGUGGAGGAAUACCGACGGCGAAGGCAGCCCCUUGGGAAUGUACUGACGCUCAUGUGCGAAAGCGUGGGGAGCCAACAGG
This 253-nucleotide ribosomal RNA is filed under the name uncultured bacterium. Its description in RNAcentral is "partial 16S ribosomal RNA". It matches the Rfam family "Bacterial small subunit ribosomal RNA", at positions 524 to 776 of the family's 1533-position model. The record is from RNAcentral.